CCUCUAAACUGUCUGAAUAAGGAGUUGAAGGAACAUGUCUCCAACUAACUUCCUAAACUGAAAUAAACUGAAAUACUAAAAUAAUAAAUGUAACGAUCAUGUCCUCGAAAGAUGAUGACUCACUGAUUACUGAACUACUACUGCUGAUCUGGAAUCUGCACCUCAGAACCUAUGGUGUAACAUAAAAAGAAAGCACCAUAGCGCAAAUGCGUCAGUACAACUAAAGUAUUGAGUAUACGUAGGGGUAGGCUAAAUGCAUGGGGUUUAUAUGCAUGAACAUGCUGACUAAUAUGAACAUGAGAAUACAUACAUACAUAUAUACGUAACUGCUACUGAACUCAUGGAGAUACUGACUACUUGAGUUUGAACUCUGACAACAUGAGUUUCGUGAUACUGAGAUACUGAAUGACUGAUAACAUGGAUGACUGUAUCUAACAGUCCUAAUUCUGGGGAAAAAUAUCUAAGUUCUAAAUGGUAUCUGAACAUCUAAGUCUGAGAUCAAUCCUAGCUAAUGAGUGAUCUCUGAAACUGAAAAUGACAAUACUUGACUGAAUCUGAGAUUGAGAUCAAGCCUGUCUGCCGGAUGACCUCUAGAUCUAAUAAUAAGCAUCUGAAUAUGGGAUAAAGCCUAUCUGAUGUGAUGGUCUAGGAAUCAAUGGAACUAUCUGAGUUCCUUACUGAGAUCGAUGACUGUAUCUGACAGUCCUGAUUCUUGAUUUCUACUCUAAAGACUGAUACUGAAACUGUAACUGUAACUGUGACUAUGGGAGGUAGUAACCUAACUGACAUACCUCGAUACUGUACUGGUGGGGUCUAAUCUUUUCCCUAAUUGGAAGGGUGUCAAUAUCGUGCCACGGGUAGAGACCUCUACUAUGGUCAAGCCUCUCUGACGGGUGACCCUAAACAGGAAAUCAAGCCUAAGGCAAUAUAAUAGUCAAGUAUAGCCUUAAUCUGAUGGGUGACUCCUGUCCUGCACUGGCUACAUAGUUCUGGAGUACAGGGAUUGCUGCUAACGGCUCUGUCUUUAUAAUAGGAAAAACUGCCAUCCUACACUCGCUCAGUGCUAGUCCCUACUCCCAACUGAAAGACUCUACAAAGAUUAAUACGCUGAACUGACUAACUGAACUAAACUAAUUUAUAAACUGAUUAACUGAGCUGAUAAUAUUUUCUUAGCUGAACUAAGCUGAAUUCACUGAGUUCCAUUGAUUGACGAAAAAGCUACUUAAGAUCUGAGGUCUGACUGAGAGUACUGAAACUACUGGGACUACUGAACUACUGAGAUUUCUAAGUUUUUCUGAGUCACGUGACUAACUAAAAUCUCUAGAGCAUAGCUUGACUGAGGAUAUCUUGAAACAUGACACUAGCUCUAGGCAUACAGCUAUAGUUUUCGGGUACAAGUAUCCUCAGGACUCAAUGGAAGGAAACUGACACACAUGAUUGACUUGAUCAUAAGAGUAGAGUCCACAAUGCAUAAUAUCAUAAGUAAGGAUUUCAUAAUAAGAAUGAUUCUCAACAAACUAUCACAUGAUCGGGAAUGCACACAACAUGUAUAUACUUGUAUGGCUUCAAUAACAUGGUCAUUCCAUAUCACAACAAUAUUAUGAGCAUCUCAUACAACAUCUUCAAUUCAAUACAAUAUCAUGGGGAUCACGUUGAACAUAAACUUAGAACAUGGAAUGGUCAUUUAGGACUUAUUAUGUCAUAAAAGCAUGAUUUCUAUUCUCUUAGGUAUUUUCACAAACACCUUACAUGCACAUCUUAGGCAUAGGUAGAUUCAUUAAGAUUACAAAUAUUCAACCACCAAUUUCACAUAUUUAUACAUUAAAUACCACCAUACCCUCACACAAAACAUAAAAAGAUCCCAUCUUAGGCAUCAUCAAACUCCAACCACAUGAACAUCAACCACCAACAACAUAAACAUCAUAAUACAUAAUUUAGAAGAUGGUUAUUGAGCUUCAUGGAUGAAAGGAGUUCAUGAAUCAACUCACGCAUACCUUAGAAGGAAGAUUCUUGAUGAUUGAUGGAGGAAUUUCUUUGCAAUUGGAUCUUCAAGCUUAAUUAUGCAAUCCUAGUUGUUUUUCUAUUUUAGUGCUCUUGGAUGAUGAACUUAAAUUUUUAAUAGGGUUGUAAUGUAACUAGGAGCUAAAUAUUUUAUAGGGUUAAGUUUAGGGACAUGUAAGGAGUGUUAAAAGACUAAUUACCCUCAAAAUAACUCAAAACGGAGUGUUUAAGUCACUUGAAACCAUAAGAUAGGUGCCACAUAUGAUAUCGCAUAUAUUUACAUAGGCGCCGCAUAUGAUAUCUCCUAAAUUUACAUAAGCGCCGCAUAUACUAUCACCUAUAUUUACAUAGGCGCCGCAUAUGCUUUUCAGUGGCCGUGUGCGAUUAGUUAGACGACGCACUCUACUUUGCUAAGCCAUAACUCCUAGCUCGGGUGUCGGAUUUUGAUGAAAUUGGUAUCGUUGGAAAGCUAAUUUGAUUUUGUAUAAUUUGGUGGGUAUAAAUAUGCAGAAAUACCAUAUUAACAUUGAGUUAUACUCAUUCAAAUAUGACUCUUACGAAAUCGAACACUAAAACUUGAUGGAUUCAAAAACUCUUAGCUUGUAUUACCUUAGGUGACUCACAUGAACAUGCUUAAUGCAUCAUAAUCUAUAUUAUCGCUAGGAUACUCAUUGUAAGUCAUGUACUCAAGUAUGAAUCACAAUAUAGAAGAUUUCAUAAGUAGGAAAAAUGGUUCGUCUCUUAGCUUAGAAACAUGCGGGGUAUUACAACAACUCAUACUUUAGAAUCAUAUGGUAAGUGAUUUAGGUCAUUAAAAUUGAAAAUAGUUCAGCCCUAUUAUCCCGUUCCUUAAUUUUCCAUAUUUGUAACUAUCAAUGUCCUUAAUUUUAUAUUACUCACUGAAUUAUUGUAUUGCUAAUUUACUAUUGACCCUCAUUAAUUUCAUCUUUUAUAUUCUUCAUUUGUAACUGCAAAAUCCUUUAAUGUGUAUUAAUUUAUGAAUAAUUAUAUUGCUAAUUUAUUUUUGUGCUCUUUCAUACUCUAAUUACAACAUUAUAUAUAGAUUGAAAGUAAACUAUUUGCAUACUAUAUUUUUCUUUGAUUCUAUACCUUUUAAUCGAGAUUCAAUAUCAUAUUCUUGUCUUUCACAUUACCGUAUUAGAAUAAGGACCACUAACUAUUUGAAACUUGUAUAAGGGUAUAUAAUAUUAAAUUUGUAUCACCGUCAAUCAUGUUUAGACUAAUAUGUUUUGAAUUGGCUCCUGCCCAAAUUACAACACUUGAUCUUUCGUUCAUAAGAAGGAUAACAUCAUCAGUAAACGUCCUUGAUCUUAUGUCCAACAUUACCUUCUCAAAUACAGGAAAUUUACAUUAAUACAUAUUUAUAUUUGAAUAAUUUAAUUACUCAACUUAUUUAUUUAACAUUUUCAUCUUUAAUUAAGGAUUUUGGUUCAAAAAUUUUCCACCACUCCACUGAAGUACAAGUUAUAGAAAGGUCUAAUGUUAAUAGCAUUCCGAUUGAGGAGAUAUUUUUAGGAGCCUUCAUCUAGCCUUUGUUCAGUUUUCACAAAGAAUUGGCAAAUACAUAGUUACUAUAAAAAGAAUGAAAUAAAAUAUCUUUUAUACAGUAUUUCUAUAUUUAUUAAUUAACAAUAUACUACUAUCAAUUAUGCUAAACUUAAUAACCUUCCUUCUCCUAUAUUUAUAAUCUUUAUCAGAACAAUAUUUUCAAACAAUAUGUUGAAUGAAUAAAUAAUCAAAAAGAAAUAUUCAAACAAAUAUACUUAAAAGCACAUGCAAAGAGCGACCAUGCUACCUGGUACGAGCGUCAAGAAAAGGGACUAAGGAUAAUUUCAUUCGGUAAAUUACUCCCAGAAUGUUCACAAUACUAUUACUUUAAAAAAAAAGAAAGAGGGAAAAUCUUUCUUUUAGGAAAACAAGAACAAGUAGGUGUUGUAGUACUAGUAAUAUUUCUUCUUCUUUCUCCCAGCAUCCAGGAAAAAAUAGAGGAGGAAGGGAGGAAAAGAUUCUUGUGAUAAUUUUCAAAGAAUCUUCAAGAAUUGAUUUCAAUAAUCUUAAGUUGGGAUUAGACUUCAAGGUAAAUUCUCUAUCCUAUUUUUGAAUAUGAUUAUAGAUAACUAUUUGAAGAUAUUUAAUAUGAAUCUUUGCACUACUUUUUGAAAUGAGUUUUAUAGCUAAAAUUCUUGAAAGGGAAAAGAGAUGGAAUUAGGAUAAAGGUGGGAUUUUGGAAAAUUCCUACCAAUUAGACAGAUUUGGUAUUGAAUUUUAUAAGUUGGAAAAUAAAGAGUUCAUUCUGAAUUUUUGUUAAAAAUUUUGAUUACCUUUUAGAGUAAGUGAAAUUAUUGGAAUAAAUUGUUAAAUGGACCUAUGGGUUAUUGAAGGAUGUAUAUGUUAUCCUUGUAGUUAGUGGGUUGCCUAUCGGAUAGCAAUAACUAGUGAUUGAAAGGAUAAAGGCUAUAAUAUCGUGGGUUGAAUUAUUUGAGUCUUGAAAUACUAUCGUAGAUAAUGAAUUACUAAAGGUAUGUAAAGCUAAAUCGUGCCUAGCUAGUAAGACACCACACUACGUCAUGUUCUCCUUUUUAUCAUGUUAAUAUAAUUCUCAUGAAAUACGAAGCUAGAAUCUUUAUAUUAUUUUACAUAUCAUUUUCAUGUUCUACUAUCAAGGUUAUAAGUAUCGAUCCUGCUCUUUUAAUGUCAAGUAUUCACAAGAUUUCAUUUUCUUACUUAAGAUUCUUAUUCCACAUGCUAUAUAUGUCACAUAAUGAAUAAAAGUAAAUAACCAUAGCAUAGUUAUACUUGUAUGUAGUAGCUAAAUGAUCAUUAUCAUAAUUCAUAUUUCAUAGGCCUUUGAGACAAUAUUUGAUAAAUGUUAACAACGGGAGGGUACAUAACUUUUAAUUGGAGAAUCCUUUUUAUGUAAUUCUAUGCAAAAUAUUGAGAACAGAUGAUUAUAAUGAGCCCGAACAUUAAGGUGUACUUUGGAGUCAGCUAAAAUAUCAUGCAUUGACUUCUCUUGACUUGAGCAAACAUAUGGCAUAUAUGAUCUUCAGGAAGACCCUCAUAGUGAACCCCCGGAGUGCAUUCCUUAUAACAAACUAUGACUACAAUUAUACAUAUAAAUCAUAGUCAUAUGUAUUUGGGCAACGUAUGUGUGAUUCAGAUGGUCUUCGGUAGGUCAUCCUAUGAUUAUUUGUACUACAUAUAGUUUAAGUACAUCACCUAGGGAAAUUAUAGGCUUUAUAUCAUAAUGAACUCUCUCCUGGAAAUUACGUGAUGAACUAAUAAAGUUGGUACAUAGGUUACAGUUUCAUAACACAUACGUAGUGCUUCUGUGCUCAUAAUUCUUUCACUUUGAUACUUAAUUCAUAUGAUCUUUUUCUCUCGUCCAACUGUUAUUUUGUCUGGUUCUCAUACUAGUACAUGAUGCAUAUGUAUUGACGCCUCCAUAUUGCCAUAUACUAUUGAUGCAAGCUCAGAUUCACAGGAUAGUAGAUAUCUAUGUUAGGCUCUAAUGUUGUUUUUAGCUGAUAUUAUGGUGAGGUCCAUAUCUCUAUAGAACUAACUUUAUAUAUUUUUUAUUUUUGGACAGAGUCACUCAUUGGGCUGGACCGAUUUUAGUGUUGUAGGAUUGUUUUUGUGUAUUAUUUGGAUGGGUUGGUCCAUUCAUUGUGGACUUUGAUAUUGAUUAUUAAUAAAAUUACAAAUUAAAUGGAAAAAAAUCUUUAUAAAGCCAGUAUAUGUCUAGUAUUUUUAUUAUAUGUGCAAACUUCUUAUUUGGUAUGUCGGGCCCUAUCCCAACUAGUUAUUCGUAGUAUAGUGUAUUAAACUAGCAAGAGGUUUCAUGCAUAUCAUGUAGUGUUUUAUUAUAACUUUUUUCUCAUAUAACUCCAUCGUGUGUAUAUAUAUCCCAUAUUGGAUAUCCUGCUCAUUAUUAUCCCAGAAUCUCGUAUAUUCAUAGAUUUCUUGUAAAGUAGAUGCAUAUGGUUUUUGUUCGUCAUUACCAUUUUGGGACAUGACAAACUUGAUAUCAGAGACAAGGUGCAGUUGUUCCAGGGAGUCUAGUAGGACCUUUCUUAUUGAUCUGUUACACUCUAUAUUUAUAGUUAAAGGACUACAUGAAUAUUUAGGAAUUUUACCUUCAUUUAUAAUCUAGAUCGUCCAAUAGAGAUAAAUCAUAGAAAGUUACUUCUGAAUCAUAUUUUAUGUAUCUGUGAUAUUGAUCAUGUCUACUAUAAAAAGGGUAAAAAAGCCCAACAUGCCACUAUUAGCACUACUCACAGGGCAACCACUAUAGGGAAAUCUCCUGUAUUGGUGGAUCUAAAUACGACUUAAGAAAGUUUGAUGAGUUCUAUGCUUCUAUGUCCUCAAAUUCCCAUGAUAGAAGGACCUACAGGGGUUUCUGUACCUCCAGUGGUACCAACAAUAGUUCCUAUCCUACCACUAGUGGCUCAGACCAAGAUUUCAAAGGAGUAAUACAGUUGCUCAUGCAGUUAGUAGCUGCUCGUACAUAGAGGCAGAAUGUGGAUUUACCUUUUAUUUCUCAAGAAGGGAUAGCCAAAUCUAAGAUCAAAUAUUUUCUCUAUAUAAGUUUGCCAAUAUUUGCAAGCUCCAAUUUUACAGAGGACCCUAAUGGUUCAUUAAUGAGACUUAUUGAAUUUGUAGGGUGAUGCAGAUAUCAGAGAUAGAUAUAGUUAAGUUGGCCUCUUAUUAAUUAAAAGGUGUUUCUAUUGGUUAGUAUGAUAUGUAAAUAGCCUUAAGGAGUUAAGAUAUUCCCCCAACAGUUUGGAUAGACUUUAUAAGGGCCAUAAUAGAUCAUAUCAUGCCACUAGAGCUCAGAGAAGAAUUGGUAGAUGAAUUUUUAUCUCAAAAGUAAUGUAAUAUUAGUGUCAAAGAGUACUAUUUGUGGUUACAUAGUGGUUCAUAUUUGCUCCAGAUUUGGUUAGCAAACAAAUAUCAGAGAUUCAUCACUUUGUGGAUGUCCUCAUAAGUUCUUUGAAGGACCUUCUUUCUAUUACUGCUAUGAACAACGAUUUGGAUAUAGAAAGGAUCAUGACAUAUGCUCGAACACUAGUGAAGGAUCAACAUAAUUGUGAGGUGGACAUCGAGAGGUAGUAGAGUAAGAGAACUAGGACGGAUAGCCAAUUUUAUGAGAGCAGUAGAGCUUCCACUAGUAGAGGACCUAGGUAGACCCAGUCAGUUAUUUUCUCUACAUCUAAUUAUUUAUCUCAUAUUUUAAGACACAAAUAUGAGUAGGAUUAGAAUUUUAGAGCACCAGAGUUACAGCUUUAAAGGGGCACCAAUUGAGAAUUACCAUCUCAUUCUUUAUGUAGACAUUGUGGUAGAGAAUAUGGAGAGGAGUGUUGGCAUGGUUUAAAUACCUGUUAUUGGUAUGGUGUAGAGGGUUAUAUGGUAUGAGAUUAUCCAUAACUCAAAGAUAAAAGUAGAGGUAAUAGACUAUAGCUUACAUGGUUUGUAUUAGCCUCAUUAUUAUUAGUACUUUUUUCUUCUCGAGGUCCUCAGACAUUAGCAGUAGAGGGUCUGGUAGGGGUAGAGGGUCCAAUUAGAGUGCUGGAUUGAAUCAUAUGCAUGCACUGGCCAUUCAGCAAGAUUCAGAGGCAUCUCCAGAUGUGGUCACAAAUACCUUAGUUAUCUAUUCAUAUACCAUAUAUGUCGUGAUAGAUCAAGGAUAUAGCCUAUCAUAUAUUACUCUAUUUAUUUCUAAGAAGUUUGGAAUAGAGCCAAAGUUGUUAUGUGAACCAUUUGCAGUAUUGACUCUAGUAGGAGAGUUUAUCAUAGCUAGAUGGGUUGAUUAUGAUUGUGUGGUGGACAGUGUGUGGUCAUGCUACAUUGGCUAAUCUGAUUAAACUUAAAAUGGUCAACGUAGAUAUUAUCAUGGGUAUGGAUUGGUUAUCUUCUUUUUAUGCUAUAGUUAAUUGCCAAGAAAAAAUGGCCUACUUCUAUUUACGUGGAGAUCCAGUCCUAGAGUGGAAAGGUAAUUUUAUGAUUCCUAGAAGAAGGAUUAUUUCAUAUCUUAAGGAUUGAAAUUUUAUUACAAAGGGGUUUUCGUAUCACCUAGUCCAAGUGAAAAAACUUGAAACCAAAAAGUAGGCACUGACUCUCCAAUCUACACCUAUGGUGAACAAGUAUCCAAAUGUGUCUCUUGAUGAACUUUUUGGAUUACCACCUAUCAAAGAGAUCAAUUUUUGUAUUGAUGUAAAUUUCGAUAAUCAACCAAUAUGAAUUCAACCUUAUAGAAUAGCACUUGUAGAAUUAAAAGAGCAAAAAAAGCAGUUGAAAGACUUAAUAAAGGCUUCAUUCUAUCCAUUAUUACCUUGGGGUGCGCCAGUAUUGUUUGUACAUAAGAAAGAUGGCAUGUUGCGAAUGUGUAUAGAUUACAGGCAUCUGAACAAAGUGACAAUAAGGAAUAAGUAUCCUCUUUCCUGGAUAGAUAACCUAUUUGAUCAAUUUUAGGGAGAUAAAUCUUUUCAAAGAUUGAUUUGAGCCCAGUUAUCUCCAACAAAGGAUUUGUGAAGCCGAUAUUCCUAUGAUAGCUUUUUGGACAAGAUAUUGGCACUUUGAGUUCUUUGUUAUGUUAUUUGGAUUGAUGAAUUCCCCAGUAGCCUUUUAUGGAUAUGAUGAAUAGGUUUUUCAAACCCUUUCUUGAUUUAUAUAUGACAUUUUGAUAUAUUCACGUAAUGAAGUAGAGCAUGUAGAUCAUUUUAUAUCAAUGUUCUAGACAUUUAAAGAGCAUUAAUUAUAUGCUAUAAUCUCUACGUAUGAGUUUUGUCAUGUGGUAUUUAGAGAAGGCAUCAGAUUAGAUUUUCAUAAAUGAUAUCCACCUGUAAGUCUCCGUAAAAGAAUAUAUACGAGCUACUACAUGAUUCUGGUGUACGAUAACUAACGUGCACCUUAGAGGUCGAGCCAUGGCAAGAGGUCGGGUAAGAGAAAGACAAAAGGAAAGGGACUAUGUGACAAAACCUAAACUAUUUGUAGUAUUUGAAAGCUCAAUAGGGAGGGUAGGAACUUUCACAGUGGUUCAAUUAAGCCGAAGUGGACAACCAAGUAGGCUGAAAUUGAUGAUUCUCCAGUGAUUAUUUGAUCAUCGGGAAAGUUAGAUCUUACUCCCCCCUGUCUGUGGAGAAAGAUGGUGGUAACGAGGUUACCCCAAGGAAAUAUUGGCUAUACUUAAAAUUAACACACCAUCGAUAGUGUAAUAGGAUUCAGAGCGAGUGGAACUCAUUGGCAAAGAGAAAUUACCUUCUUGGACGAGCUUAUUUAAGAAUAAAAUAUGUACUGAUAAUGGUAUGACCCUGACCUAUAUGCCACCCUAAAUCGUAGAUGGACUUUUUGUAGUUUAAUUGGAAAAGGAAGAGGUGGAUGAAGAGGCAUUAAAGUAGAUAAGUACACUUAAAGCUUAUCUUUUCAGCAGGUACCAAUUUAUAACACCAUGAUAUGGUUCAUUCAACAAAAUUAGACGAUUACUAAACCUAAACUAUAUCUUCAUGAAGAGGGGUAUUAUCUGAUUAAGUUAUAAAUAAUUGAGGAUCUGAAUGAGAUAUUUUAUGCUAGACCCUUUUCAGUUAUUAAUAGACCAAUUAUACUAAAAUCUCAAAAGUUGAAUUUUGACUUUAAUGUGCGAUUCCCUACAGAAAUUCCACUAAGAGUCAAGUUUUCAAAUUUUCCAAUGAAUUGCUGGGGUAGAAAUUCUUCGAGCCAAAUUGCAAGUGCUAUAGAAACUCUAAUUUGUGCUGAUGAGUGCACUAUAAAACAAAUGUAUAUCUCCUAUGUGAGAAAUAUUAUCAUGGUCAAUGUUACUGGGACUCUCCAUGAGGCCGUGAUUGUGAUAGAUCCUAAUAGUCAUCAAUUAAUCGAAAAGGUGGUGUUUGACUGGAAAACAGAGUUUGCUAACAAUUCUAGUUAUUGGGCAUCAAUGUCCACCUCCCCAGUGAUAAGAGAAUAGUUAGCAAUGUAGGUGAAAAGUACCAAGGUAGGUCACUAUAGAGUGGUAGACUAGGGGACUUUUUGCUCAUGUGGAGUCAACUAAGCCUGGAACCACUAGUGAAAUAGAUGAGAGCACCAAUAGUCUAAUUGACAGUGAGCCUGUUUAGCCAUCUGGUGUGGUGUCUCAUAAGUGUAUUUUUGAUGUUCAGCAUUUGAAAGGAAAUCAAGAAGAGGUUGAUACAUAUGCGUUAAGUACGGGAAAGAUUUCCUAAAGUUUUGAGUUGAAUUUAGUAGAUUUACCUAUCCUCUUCUCAUCUGUAACCUCUGGAAAUGCGACUCAACGUCCUUUGAAUCAUGUGCAUCCCAAAUCUCUUGAUAAGCGGAGAGACACUCAAUAAUCAUCAUGAAUUGGUUAGUGUGGAAUGUAAAGGGUAUCAAUAGAUGGAACAAACAAAUGAAGUUAAGAAGUAACUUUCUAAUAAAUAAUAUUAGAUUUGCUGGGCUAGUAGAAACCAUAAUUAAGACUCCUAAAGCUAGAGAAGUUCUGAAUCAUAUGGCACCUGGUUAGGAAAUGGAAUUUAAAUAUCAGCAAGUCGUGAACGGAAGGAUAUGGGUGAUGUGGGAUCUAAAUUGGUUUGAAUAUUUUUUACGAUAUGUUGAUGCUCAAUUCAUUCAUUUUUAUGUGAAGGAGCGACAAAGGGAUCAUAACUGUUUUGUCAUAGUACUAUAUGGU
Molecule: long non-coding RNA, 10696 nt
Filed under: Capsicum annuum
Lineage: Eukaryota; Viridiplantae; Streptophyta; Magnoliopsida; Solanales; Solanaceae
Description: long non-coding RNA (CANN_LNC002466)
Source: RNAcentral